RNAcentral lists this ribosomal RNA (425 nucleotides) under uncultured bacterium. Its description in RNAcentral is "bacterial SSU rRNA". It matches the Rfam family "Bacterial small subunit ribosomal RNA", at positions 354 to 796 of the family's 1533-position model. The record is from RNAcentral.
GUGAGGAAUUUUGCGCAAUGGGGGCAACCCUGACGCAGCGACGCCGCGUGGAGGACGAAGUCUUUCGGGAUGUAAACUCCUGUCAGUGGGGACGAUAAUGACGGUACCCACAGAGGAAGCACCGGCUAACUCCGUGCCAGCAGCCGCGGUAAGACGGAGGGUGCAAGCGUUGUUCGGCAUUACUGGGCGUAAAGCGUAUGUAGGCGGCAAGUUAAGUUCAAUGUUAAAGCCCACGGCUCAACCGAGGAGAUGCAUUGAAUACUGGCUAGCUAGAGGGUGUUAGAGGAAGACGGAGUUCCCAGUGUAGCGGUGAAAUGCGUAGAUAUUGGGAGGAACAUCGGUAGCGAAAGCGGUCUUCUGGGACAUACCUGACGCUGAGGUACGAAAGCGUGGGGAGCAAACGGGAUUAGAUACCCGAGUAGUCC